This 83-nucleotide small nucleolar RNA is filed under the name Cyprinodon variegatus (sheepshead minnow). Its description in RNAcentral is "Small nucleolar RNA SNORD100 (ENSCVAG00000018461.1)". It matches the Rfam family "Small nucleolar RNA SNORD100". Rfam says of the family: The members of this family belong to the C/D class of snoRNAs which contain the C (UGAUGA) and D (CUGA) box motifs. Lineage: Eukaryota; Metazoa; Chordata; Actinopteri; Cyprinodontiformes; Cyprinodontidae. The record is from Rfam by way of RNAcentral.
UGUAUCGAUGAUGAUAUUUAGGCUCCCUCUACUGAACACUGUGAGGAGAUUGCCUCUGUUACCCAAAUUCUGUCUGAGAUACU